RNAcentral lists this ribosomal RNA (490 nucleotides) under uncultured bacterium. RNAcentral's name for it is "partial 16S ribosomal RNA". It matches the Rfam family "Bacterial small subunit ribosomal RNA", at positions 30 to 507 of the family's 1533-position model. The record is from RNAcentral.
AUUGAACGCUGGCGGCAGGCCUAACACAUGCAAGUCGAACGGUAACAGGAAGACGCUUGCUUCUUUGCUGACGAGUGGCGGACGGGUGAGUAAUGUCUGGGAAACUGCCUGAUGGAGGGGGAUAACUACUGGAAACGGUAGCUAAUACCGCAUAACGUCGCAAGACCAAAAAGGGGGACCUUCUGGCCUCUUGCCAUCGGAUGUGCCCAGAUGGGAUUAGCUAGUAGGUGGGGUAACGGCUCACCUAGGCGACGAUCCCUAGCUGGUCUGAGAGGAUGACCAGCCACACUGGAACUGAGACACGGUCCAGACUCCUACGGGAGGCAGCAGUGGGGAAUAUUGCACAAUGGGCGCAAGCCUGAUGCAGCCAUGCCGCGUGUGUGAAGAAGGCCUUCGGGUUGUAAAGUACUUUCGGCGGGGAGGAAGGGAGUAAAGUUAAUACCUUUGCUCAUUGACGUUACCCGCAGAAGAAGCACCGGCUAACUCCGUG